UAUUUGCAUAACAUAUCAUUUUUCCAUUUUUUUCUGAUUUAUGUUUUAAUCUAAAGUAUGUCUCUUAUAGAUCAUAGUUGGGUCUUUCUUCUUUUAUUUAGUCAAUUUCAGCCUUUUGAAGGUUUAGUCCAUUCAUACUUCGUGGAAUUUUCAAUAUAAUUAUGCUAGUGUUCCAGAAGAGUCAUGUGUUAAAGACUUGGUCCCCAACACAGAAAUAUGCAGAGAUGGAACUUUUGGGAACUGAUUUGAUUAUGAGGGCUCUAAAUUUAUUUAUUUACUUAUUUAUGUACAUGUAAAUGUUACAGCCAAAAUAAAUCUUUUCUCCUCAUCUGUGAGUUAACCAAUUUGAUAGAUUACUAAUUUGGACUACUGGGUGGUGGCAGAAACUAGGCAGCUGGGGUGUGUAUGGUUGGAGGAAGGUCACUGAGGGUGUGACCUUGGGUAUUAUACCCUGCCCCUGGCCUCUAUUUUUUUAAAAUAUUUUUUUAGUUGAUAGACCUUUAUUUAUUUAUUUACAUGUGGUGCUAAGAAUCAAACCCAGUGCCUCACACAUGCUAGGCAAGUGCUGUAUCACUGUAUCAACUCUACAACCCUAGCUCCCGGGCCCCUUUCUUGCUCUCUGAUUCUGGGCUGCCAUGAGCUCAUCAAUUUUCCUCCACCAGGCCCUUCUGCCAUGAUAUUUCUGCCUUGGAGCAUGCUGACCAUGAAUUAACUAUAACCUCCAAAACUAUGAGCCAAAAUAAAUCUUUUCUCCUCAAAGGUGUUUUCCCCAGGUGUUUGUCAAAGAGAGGAAAACCUGACAACACAGGCUGAAAUUUUCCUGUUUUCUAUCAUUUUUGUACUUCUGUUCCCCCUUGAUUGUUUUCUUUUGUGUUAAACACUUUUUAAAAAAAUUUACUAUUUUAAUUCAUCUUAUUUUUGCUAUUCUUUUGAUACAAAAAUCUUGUUAUUUUAUAGUGUACAAUG
RNAcentral lists this long non-coding RNA (966 nucleotides) under Marmota monax (woodchuck). The record is from RNAcentral. Lineage: Eukaryota; Metazoa; Chordata; Mammalia; Rodentia; Sciuridae.